GCGCGCGUAGGCGGUUUCUUAAGUCUGAUGUGAAAGCCCACGGCUCAACCGUGGAGGGUCAUUGGAAACUGGGAAACUUGAGUGCAGAAGAGGAAAGUGGAAUUCCAUGUGUAGCGGUGAAAUGCGCAGAGAUAUGGAGGAACACCAGUGGCGAAGGCGACUUUCUGGUCUGUAACUGACGCUGAUGUGCGAAAGCGUGGGGAUCAAACAGGAUUAGAAACCCUNGUAGUC
This 231-nucleotide ribosomal RNA is filed under the name Staphylococcus saprophyticus. RNAcentral describes it as "partial 16S ribosomal RNA". It matches the Rfam family "Bacterial small subunit ribosomal RNA", at positions 565 to 795 of the family's 1533-position model. Lineage: Bacteria; Bacillati; Bacillota; Bacilli; Caryophanales; Staphylococcaceae. The record is from RNAcentral.